AGGAUUAUAGUUUAAAAAAAACAUUUGAUUUGCAAUCAAAAAUUAUUAUUUCAAUUUAUCUUU
This 63-nucleotide transfer RNA is filed under the name Dipseudopsis sp. XG-2021. Its description in RNAcentral is "tRNA-Ala". The record is from RNAcentral. Lineage: Eukaryota; Metazoa; Arthropoda; Insecta; Trichoptera; Dipseudopsidae.